CAGUCGCCGCGGUAAUACGGAGGGUGCAAGCGUUAAUCGGAAUUACUGGGCGUAAAGUGCACGCAGGCGGUCUGACAAGUCAGAUGUGAAAUCCCCGGGCUUAACCUGGGAACUGCAUUUGAAACUGUCAGGCUGGAGUCUUGUAGAGGGGGGUGGAAUUCCAGGUGUAGCGGUGAAAUGCGUAGAGAUCUGGAGGAAUACCGGUGGCGAAGGCGGCCCCCUGGACAAAGACUGACGCUCAGGUGCGAAAGCGUGGGGAGCAAACAGGAUUAGAUACCCCGGUAGUCCCUGUCUCUUAUAC
This 301-nucleotide ribosomal RNA is filed under the name uncultured bacterium. RNAcentral describes it as "partial 16S ribosomal RNA". It matches the Rfam family "Bacterial small subunit ribosomal RNA", at positions 509 to 807 of the family's 1533-position model. The record is from RNAcentral.